This 543-nucleotide long non-coding RNA is filed under the name Helianthus annuus (common sunflower). RNAcentral describes it as "sRNA HanXRQr2_Chr10g0437821". The stretch from base 252 to 538 matches the Rfam family "Bacterial small subunit ribosomal RNA", at positions 567 to 869 of the family's 1533-position model. Lineage: Eukaryota; Viridiplantae; Streptophyta; Magnoliopsida; Asterales; Asteraceae. The record is from RNAcentral.
UUGAAAAGAUCGUGAAAAUAGGUUUGCAAUCUCUCGUUGAUGUUCUUCUCCUUCAUUAAAAUACAUCUAUCCCUACCUUUAUAAACUUCACAACUUUUAGAUCAUGUCUUUUUGUUUCCCUAGCUUUGACAAUUUUGAUCAUAUUAUCAUGCUCCCUAAGUCUCCAUACUCCAUUACAUCUCCUCAUAGGUUAUCUACUUUGCUUUAGAUGAUGCCUUCUUUGCCUCCCAUUUGCCAACUUCUCUCAUUCAAUCCCACUCGUUCCUCCUCAUCAGGGCUUAACUCUAGACAAGCUGUGGAAACUACCAAGUUGGAGUACGGUAGGGGCAAAGGGAAUUUCCGGUGGAGCCGUGAAAUGCGUAGAGAUCGGAAAGAACACCAACCGCGAAAGCACUCUGCUGGGCCACACUGACACUGAGGGACGAAAGCUAGAGGAGUGAAUGGGAUUAGAUGCCCUAGUAGUCCUAGCCGUAAACGAUGGUACUAGGCGUUGUGCGUAUCGACCCGUACAGUGUUGUAGCUAACGUGUUAAGUAUCCCGCCU